This 497-nucleotide ribosomal RNA is filed under the name uncultured bacterium. RNAcentral describes it as "partial 16S ribosomal RNA". It matches the Rfam family "Bacterial small subunit ribosomal RNA", at positions 28 to 507 of the family's 1533-position model. The record is from RNAcentral.
GAUGAACGCUGGCGGCGUGCCUAAUACAUGCCAGUCGAGCGAACGGACGAGAAGCUUGCUUCUCUGAUGUUAGCGGCGGACGGGUGAGUAACACGUGGAUAACCUACCUAUAAGACUGGGAUAACUUCGGGAAACCGGAGCUAAUACCGGAUAAUAUUUUGAACCGCAUGGUUCAAAAGUGAAAGACGGCCUUGCUGUCACUUAUAGAUGGAUCCGCGCUACAUUAGCUAGUUGGUAAGGUAACGGCUUACCAAGGCAACGAUGCAUAGCCGACCUGAGAGGGUGAUCGGCCACACUGGAACCGAGACACGGUCCAGACUCCUACGGGAGGCAGCAGUAGGGAAUCUUCCGCAAUGGGCGAAAGCCUGACGGAGCAACGCCGCGUGAGUGAUGAAGGUCUUCGGAUCGUAAAACUCUGUUAUUAGGGAAGAACAUAUGUGUAAGUAACUGUGCACAUCUUGACGGUACCUAAUCAGAAAGCCACGGCUAACUACGUG